Molecule: ribosomal RNA, 254 nt
Filed under: uncultured bacterium
Lineage: Bacteria
Description: partial 16S ribosomal RNA
Rfam family: Bacterial small subunit ribosomal RNA
Source: RNAcentral
UACGGGGGGAGCAAGCGUUGUUCGGAUUUACUGGGCGUAAAGGGCGCGUAGGCGGUCACGACAAGUCAGUUGUGAAAUCUCCGGGCUUAACUCGGAACGGUCAACUGAUACUGUCGGACUAGAGUGCAGAAGGGGCAACUGGAAUUCUCGGUGUAGCGGUGAAAUGCGUAGGUAUCGAGAGGAACACCUGCGGCGAAGGCGGGUUGCUGGGCUGACACUGACGCUGAGGCGCGAAAGCUAGGGGAGCGAACGGG